GGCAAUUUUUGGUUUUGAAGAAGUAAUCAUAUUUUGGGUCUGGUUUCGUGGUGGGUGACCCGAUCCAAUUUUCGUCAUUGAAGAAAAGAAAUCGAAAAAAUUAGGUUAUCAAAUUAGACUAAACGAGAGCAAAAACUGUUUACGCAGAGGAAGAUAAUCAAAUUUCUCCCGAAAACUGCUUCUCUUUCGCUUUGUGCAGAGGCAGAUAAUCGAUGAUGUCUACCAGCAGCCGGAGAUGCCUUACUGUUUUUCGGGUUCAUCGGCCAAUGUGUAUUUUUGAUUCCGCUUCUUAUAGUAGUUUUAAAAGCAGUACAUAUUUGAGAGCUCAUAGCUUACCGUUAUGUAGACUGGGCAUCAUGUUGCUUUGGAAGGAGGUCUCUCAUGGGGUUUUGUGUAUUUCUUGGAGAUGCUUUAGUCUCUUGGAAGUCUAAAAAGUAGAAAUAAAUAAAAUUUUUUAAAAUUAAAAUUUCUAUUCAA
Molecule: non-coding RNA, 477 nt
Organism: Jatropha curcas
Lineage: Eukaryota; Viridiplantae; Streptophyta; Magnoliopsida; Malpighiales; Euphorbiaceae
Source: RefSeq, a predicted model, not a curated record